RNAcentral lists this ribosomal RNA (164 nucleotides) under uncultured eukaryote. Its description in RNAcentral is "partial 18S ribosomal RNA". It matches the Rfam family "Eukaryotic small subunit ribosomal RNA", at positions 1487 to 1650 of the family's 1831-position model. The record is from RNAcentral.
CCGCACGCGCGCUACACUGAUACGUGCAACAAGUUCUAUCCUGGGCCGGAAGGUCUCGGGUAAUCUUGAUAAUGCGUAUCGUGAUAGGGAUAGAUCUUUGGAAUUAUAGAUCUUGAACGAGGAAUUCCUAGUAAGCAUAAGUCAUCAGCUUGUGCUGAUUACGU